This 427-nucleotide ribosomal RNA is filed under the name uncultured Acidobacteriota bacterium. Its description in RNAcentral is "bacterial SSU rRNA". It matches the Rfam family "Bacterial small subunit ribosomal RNA", at positions 958 to 1385 of the family's 1533-position model. The record is from RNAcentral. Lineage: Bacteria; Pseudomonadati; Acidobacteriota.
AACGCGAAGAACCUUACCUGGGCUUGAACCGCACAGGACCAUCUUUGGAAACAGAGACUUCCCGCAAGGGACCUGUGUAGAGGUGCUGCAUGGCUGUCGUCAGCUCGUGCCGUGAGGUGUUGGGUUAAGUCCCGCAACGAGCGCAACCCUUACUCAUAGUUGCUACCCGCAAGGGAGAACUCUAUGAGGACUGCUCCGGAUAACGGAGAGGAAGGUGGGGAUGAGGUCAAGUCAGCAUGGCCUUUAUGUCCAGGGCUACACACGUGUUACAAUGCGCGCUACAGAGCGUUGCAAACCCGCGAGGGGGAGCUAAUCGCACAAAAGCGCGCUCAGUUCGGAUUGCAGUCUGCAACUCGACUGCAUGAAGCCGGAAUCGCUAGUAAUGGCGCAUCAGAACGGCGCCGUGAAUACGUUCCCGGGCCUUGUA